RNAcentral lists this ribosomal RNA (2858 nucleotides) under Acinetobacter baumannii 1042969-1197. Its description in RNAcentral is "bacterial LSU rRNA". It matches the Rfam family "Bacterial large subunit ribosomal RNA". The record is from RNAcentral. Lineage: Bacteria; Pseudomonadati; Pseudomonadota; Gammaproteobacteria; Moraxellales; Moraxellaceae.
UCAAGUAAUUAAGUGCAUGUGGUGGAUGCCUUGGCAGUCAGAGGCGAUGAAAGACGUGAUAGCCUGCGAAAAGCUCCGGGGAGGCGGCAAAUAUCCUUUGAUCCGGAGAUGUCUGAAUGGGGGAACCCACCUACUUUAAGGUAGGUAUUGCAACAUGAAUACAUAGUGUUGCAAGGCGAACGAGGGGAAGUGAAACAUCUCAGUACCCUUAGGAAAAGAAAUCAAUUGAGAUUCCCUCAGUAGCGGCGAGCGAACGGGGAUCAGCCCAUUAAGUUAUGUGUGUUUUAGUGGAACGCUCUGGGAAGUGCGAACGUAGAGGGUGAUAUUCCCGUACACGAAAGGGCACACAUAAUGAUGACGAGUAGGGCGAGGCACGUGAAACCUUGUCUGAAUAUGGGGGGACCAUCCUCCAAGGCUAAAUACUCCUGACUGACCGAUAGUGAACCAGUACCGUGAGGGAAAGGCGAAAAGAACCCCUGUGAGGGGAGUGAAAUAGAUCCUGAAACCGCAUGCAUACAAGCAGUGGGAGCACCUUCGUGGUGUGACUGCGUACCUUUUGUAUAAUGGGUCAGCGACUUAUAUUCAGUAGCGAGGUUAACCGUAUAGGGGAGCCGUAGAGAAAUCGAGUCUUAAUAGGGCGUUUAGUUGCUGGGUAUAGACCCGAAACCAGGCGAUCUAUCCAUGAGCAGGUUGAAGGUUGGGUAACACUAACUGGAGGACCGAACCCACUGUCGUUGAAAAGCCAGGGGAUGACUUGUGGAUAGGGGUGAAAGGCUAAUCAAGCCUGGUGAUAGCUGGUUCUCCCCGAAAGCUAUUUAGGUAGCGCCUCGGACGAAUACCAUAGGGGGUAGAGCACUGUUUCGGCUAGGGGGUCAUCCCGACUUACCAAACCGAUGCAAACUCCGAAUACCUAUGAGUACUAUCCGGGAGACAGACUGCGGGUGCUAACGUCCGUAGUCAAGAGGAAAACAAUCCAGACCGCCAGCUAAGGCCCCAAAAUCAUAGUUAAGUGGGAAACGAUGUGGGAAGGCAUAGACAGCUAGGAGGUUGGCUUAGAAGCAGCCACCCUUUAAAGAAAGCGUAAUAGCUCACUAGUCGAGUCGGCCUGCGCGGAAGAUGUAACGGGGCUAAAACUAUGUGCCGAAGCUGCGGAUGUAUACUUUGUAUACGUGGUAGGGGAGCGUUCUGUAAGCCGAUGAAGGUGUGUUGAGAAGCAUGCUGGAGGUAUCAGAAGUGCGAAUGCUGACGUGAGUAACGACAAAACGGGUGAAAAACCCGUUCGCCGAAAGACCAAGGGUUCCAGUCCAACGUUAAUCGGGGCUGGGUGAGUCGACCCCUAAGGCGAGGCCGAAAGGCGUAGUCGAUGGGAAAAUGGUUAAUAUUCCAUUACUUCUGUGUAAUGCGAUGAGAGGACGGAGAAGGCUAAAUCAGCCUGGCGUUGGUUGUCCAGGUGAAAGGAUGUAGGCAUGUAUCUUAGGCAAAUCCGGGGUACUCUAUGCUGAGAUCUGAUAGCAAGCUGUACUUGUACAGCGAAGUGGUUGAUGCCAUGCUUCCAGGAAAAGUCUCUAAGCUUCAGUUACACAGGAAUCGUACCCGAAACCGACACAGGUGGUCAGGUCGAGUAGACCAAGGCGCUUGAGAGAACUCUGCUGAAGGAACUAGGCAAAAUGGUACCGUAACUUCGGGAGAAGGUACGCUGUUGUUGGUGAUGGAACUCGCUUCCUGAGCUGACGACAGCCGCAGAAACCAGGCCGCUGCAACUGUUUAUUAAAAACAUAGCACUCUGCAAACACGAAAGUGGACGUAUAGGGUGUGAUGCCUGCCCGGUGCUGGAAGGUUAAUUGAUGGGGUUAGCGUAAGCGAAGCUCUUGAUCGAAGCCCCAGUAAACGGCGGCCGUAACUAUAACGGUCCUAAGGUAGCGAAAUUCCUUGUCGGGUAAGUUCCGACCUGCACGAAUGGCAUAAUGAUGGCGGCGCUGUCUCCAGCAGAGGCUCAGUGAAAUCGAAAUCGCUGUGAAGAUGCAGUGUACCCGCGGCUAGACGGAAAGACCCCGUGAACCUUUACUGCAGCUUGACACUGAACUUUGACCUUACUUGUGUAGGAUAGGUGGGAGGCUUUGAAGCUGGAACGCUAGUUCCAGUGGAGCCGUCCUUGAAAUACCACCCUGGUAAUGUUGAGGUUCUAACUCUGUCCCGUGAUCCGGGACGAGGACCGUGUCUGGUGGGUAGUUUGACUGGGGCGGUCUCCUCCUAAAGAGUAACGGAGGAGUACGAAGGUGCGCUCAGCGUGGUCGGAAAUCACGCGUAGAGUAUAAAGGCAAAAGCGCGCUUAACUGCGAGACCCACAAGUCGAGCAGGUACGAAAGUAGGUCUUAGUGAUCCGGUGGUUCUGUAUGGAAGGGCCAUCGCUCAACGGAUAAAAGGUACUCUGGGGAUAACAGGCUGAUACCGCCCAAGAGUUCAUAUCGACGGCGGUGUUUGGCACCUCGAUGUCGGCUCAUCUCAUCCUGGGGCUGAAGCAGGUCCCAAGGGUAUGGCUGUUCGCCAUUUAAAGAGGUACGCGAGCUGGGUUUAGAACGUCGUGAGACAGUUCGGUCCCUAUCUACCGUGGGCGCUGGAAAUUUGAGAGGAUCUGCUCCUAGUACGAGAGGACCAGAGUGGACGAACCUCUGGUGUACCGGUUGUGACGCCAGUCGCAUCGCCGGGUAGCUAUGUUCGGAAGGGAUAACCGCUGAAAGCAUCUAAGCGGGAAGCCUACCUCAAGAUAAGAUUUCCCUAGGACUUUAUGUCCUCUAAAGAGCCGUUCGAGACUAGGACGUUGAUAGGUUGGAUGUGGAAGCAUAGUGAUAUGUGAAGCU